Molecule: ribosomal RNA, 506 nt
Filed under: uncultured bacterium
Lineage: Bacteria
Description: partial 16S ribosomal RNA
Rfam family: Bacterial small subunit ribosomal RNA
Source: RNAcentral
GAUGAACGCUAGCGGCAGGCCUAACACAUGCAAGUCGAGGGGUAACUAGAGUGAUAGCAAUAUUACUUUGGCUAGACCGGCGCACGGGUGCGUAACACGUAUGCAACCUACCUUAUACUGGGGAAUAACUUCGAGAAAUCGGCGCUAAUACCCCAUAACACUGCGGAGAGGCAUCUCUUUGCAGUUAAAGCUCCGGCGGUAUAAGAUGGGCAUGCGUCCAAUUAGCUAGUUGGUGAGGUAACGGCUCACCAAGGCUACGAUUGGUAGGGGUUCUGAGAGUAGGAGCCCCCACACUGGAACUGAGACACGGACCAGACUCCUACGGGAGGCAGCAGUGAGGAAUAUUGCGCAAUGGACGAAAGUCUGACGCAGACAUGCCGCGUGCAGGAUGACGGCCCUAUGGGUUGUAAACUGCUUUUGUACGGGAAUAAACCCUUCUACGUGUAGGAGGCUGAAGGUACCGUAAGAAUAAGCACCGGCUAACUCCGUGCCAGCAGCCGCAGUAA